This is a long non-coding RNA of Lolium perenne, 4404 nucleotides long. RefSeq lists it as uncharacterized. The record is from RefSeq and is a predicted model, not a curated record. NCBI's taxonomy places the organism in Eukaryota, Viridiplantae, Streptophyta, Magnoliopsida, Poales, Poaceae.
GAAAUUACUAUAUGUACCAGAACAUGUACGACGCGGACCCGACAUCUAAGUACAAGGGCGCGCUGGCCAUGGGCGUGCCGGGGGAGCUCGCCGUCCUUCCUCCAGCAGCGCCGGUGGCCACGCUCCCUCCUGGUGGGCUACUUCACGCAGCGAUGCCGGGUAGCCAUGUUUCCAGGGACCAGCCCCACCGCGGGCUGCAACAGCCAGCUCGCCUUCGUCCCGUUGCCCGGGCCUUCCCUGCUCGGCUGCACGUCUCGCCGUCCGCUCAGCUCCUUCAUCGUCCCUGCUGACGGUGACGCUGCUGCCGCGGCCGUCGUCGACCGUUCCGUGCCGCUCGCCACGCGCGGCGGGCUCCUUCUCGUUCGCCUCUACCCAAGCGACGACGACCUGGAGCCCGACGUCGUCCGCCUCGUGUCAGACUCGACAGAGCUCUAGCUACAGCGGACUGGUGUGCGAGAUACCCUAUGGCACAGGUACAACACCUAUCGGCUGCUGCCUCAGACCACUCGCCAAUCAUGUUGCAAUAUGAGCAGCGGGUGGAGCAGCGGCGGACGCCCCGUCUGUUCAGAUAUGAGGCUAUGUGGGAGGCGCAUGAUGCGUUUUCUCCCAUGGUGGGGCAGGAAUGGAAGGAAAAUCCCUCGGCCACGAUGAAUGACUUGGAAGGGAAGCUUCACGGCCUCUCUGCAUCUUUGUCAGACUGGGGGCGGAAUACUUUCGGACAUGUCCGAAAGGAAUUGAAAGUACUCAAGGGGGUGCUAGCGGCACUGCGUGGGGAACCAGACCGCGUCGGGCCGGAUCACCGUGAGCUGAAGAUUGUGGAACGCAUUGUGGAGCUACACCAUCACGAGGAGACAAUGUGGAAACAACGAUCACGAGUUCAGUGGCUAUCGGAGGGGGACCGCAAUACGAGAUUCUUCCAUAUGCGGGCUUGCAAGCGUAAGAAGAGAAACCGGAUCUCGAGACUGCGCCGGCCAGACGGCACCGUCACCGAAGAUCACUCCGAGCUUUGCCAACUGGCGAGGGGUUUCUAUGAUGAUCUAUACACCUCGGAGCCUAUCUCAGGGGUGGCAGAGGUACUGGAGUCAGUGCAGCCAACUGUGACCCAAGCGAUGAAUACCCAGCUUCUUAUGCCGUUUGAGGAAGGGGAAGUAAAGUCUGCUUUGUUCCAAAUGUUCCCGCUCAAAGCGCCAGGCCCUGAUGGCUUUCCCGCAUAGUUCUUCCAAAAGCAUUGGGAUUUGUGUGGUGAGGAAGUGACAAAGGCGGUUCUACGGGUGUUGCGUGCUGAGGACAGCCUGGAAGGGAUCAAUAAGACUUUCAUUGUCUUGAUCCCAAAAGUGGCCUCUCCGGAGGAGCUAGGUCAGUUUAGACCUAACAUUUAUGCAAUGUGAUAUACAAAAUUGCAUCCAAAGUUUUGGCAAACCGUCUCAAAGAAAUCCUGCCAGAGAUUAUCUCAGAGGAACAGUCGGCUUUCGUCCCAGGAAGGCUGAUUACUGAUAACAUAAUCGCGGCGUACGAGUGUCUCCAUUUUAUGAAGAGGAAUGGGGCGCAAUGCCAGGUUCUACUGCUAAUGUCGCAUUGAGAGGACGCUACCAACCUCCCCGCUGCUAGUGUCCUGCUGCUCAGCCCAGCCGUGGACGACCUUUACCAGAUAUUUUUCAAUGUUUACCGUGUUCAGCGAGGCAUGAAGUUUGAUCUCUGCCCAAUGUGGUUGGUGGUACAACCCAAGACGGCGGCAGGUACCGCCAGGGACGGAUGAGAAGGACAACGACCUUCUGCAGGUUGCAUCCAUCUAAACCCGGCCAUGGCACGAGAGUCAUUCCCUCUUUGAGUUAUUUAAGUUUCAAAGAUUGAAGGAAGCAAUGGACAGGGAACAUGUGAAGCUCAUCUUGUGCUCGGAAAAUUGAAGCAGCACAGUUAGCACCAAACUGGAAGUUUCAGUCAAGCUAGGCAACAACCCCACAUAUGCUCGUUGGAUCCUGAAGUUGCGCAUUUAAGGAAGUUGAUGAAGCUCGGCUUCCGAGCCGGUGGCAACAUCCGGGGCAAGGAGAGGGCUGACUGGAGGCAUGGAAGUCACUGAAACAGCUGUGGAGUUACUACAGAGAAAAUAACCAUGGUGCAAAAACUUUAUAAGAUAUUGGGCGUUCUUCCUCAGGCAGUGUAUAAAGCAGCUGCAUGGGCGAGCUGAUGUGGGAGGUGGAGAGGUUGAGCAGCAGAAGCUUCAUAUUUCCAAGAUUCUGGAAACGCAAGCCAAAGCUAAAUGCCGAGAUAAUGGCCUUGAGGCAUUCUCUGUUGUCGUCAACAAUAUCUGACACACUUGAAGCCUAAGAAAACAAAGAUAUUGUUGGCCAUACUUUUGUUAUUCUAUUUGCCUUACAAGUUACAAUUGGGCAGUAUGUGUUGGUACAGAAGCACCUCUUUUAUGUCUGUUCUGGUCCAUUCUACAUACUUCGGUCAUCAGACAACACAGAUGCUCCUUCAUGCAUCAUAUCCUUUCCGGUAAAUGCAGGAAAUCAAUCCAAAUUAGCCCAGUAUGGUGUCUGCACUAUCAUGAAUGAAGGUAUAUGUUCUUCUCUAAUAACCCAGCUUCGACUAUCUCGGCGAGUUGACCACGCUGCAACCAUGACGCUUGUAAUCGGCUACAGCAUCUCCAGUGAGUUACCAUGUGGCUCCCAUGUCGUAUACGCCUUUGAUCAUGUGGCUCCCAUGUGGUAUGUAAUACCAUGGCUGUACUUAUGCUCUCGCCACCUAGUUUUAUAUUAUUAGAGGCCCUGCUGUAGUAUUUCUGGUAAUUGAAGUUUUCAUGUUAAUGGUAUGAUUUUUCUGUUAUUAUGCUGCCAAUACCAAGUAUUGUGUUGGUAUUGGGUUGUAUUGAUCUUUGAUUAGAGAUCAUUCUAUGGUUGGACAUGCUUCGGCUUAUAAUUUUAGCCAGUGGGAUUGUUGAUCCUGCUAUUUUCUUCGAGUAGUUAAUCCUGCUAUUUUCUUCCAGUAGUUAAUCCUUCUCCCCUGUAUUUUUGCAUUCUGCUUUGUAAGUAUCAGCUCAAGCCUCAAGCUUGAUUAGAGCAAGCACUAUGCACAGAUACAAAUGAUAUCUACAUGUACUGUAUGCCUUACUCUUUCUUGGUAGUUGCAGUAUUUAGUUCGUAUAGAAUCUUGAUUCUUUCAUAUUUAUUUCUGGAUUGAAAACUGUGAUGUUUACCACAUAUAUAGGUGAUAAACAUUUGAAGAAAACAAAGAUGCUAUGUAUCUAAUAGAACUGGUGGCGAGUGGCGACUAGUGUCAUUUUGUCUUGCUAGGUAUCUAAGAGAAUUGAAGUAUCUAGCUGAUUGAAAUUGUUUCAGUCUUGGUGCGGAAGUGAUGAUACUGACUAUGUUUAUUAGUGUCUAGUUUGGAAGUUGAGAACCUAUCCUGACUGAUGAGCAACGUCAGGUUGUGUUGAUGUUUAAUUGCAUCAGUCAGUCCAAUUUUUUCCUGAGGGUGUAUCGAGCGUCUGAAAUGGUGUAAGUUGCUGCCUUUGGGUGUGAGCAAGAGUCUGCACGGGGAAGCAACAUCUGUCAGUGGUGUGCACGAAUAGUAUUUGCGGUCAUUCUAUGAGAAAUAUUGCACAAUGAAUACUAUUUUAGUAACUACUGUGCAUGUACCAGUUAUGUGUGUCUAGCCAAUUUUUUUCUAGCUCAUGGUACAAUCUGCCUGCAUAUUGUCAGUCCAAUUACUUUUACAUUCUUCUAUUUACCGGUGCUCAUGGAAUUUUUGGCUUGCAAACUAGAAUCUGAAGUAUAAUGAAAGCUGUGGGUGAAGUAAAGGAACAAAGGCUACUGCCAUUGUUACAAUCCAAAGCUUAAUCCUUUCUAUGGUUGAUCCAUUGCUGCUAGAGCCGGUGCAGUUUGCACUCCCCAUAUAUAAUCCGUGUAUUAGCUAGGCCAUCAUACUAUGAAAAAGCACAAGAAGGUGUUAGGUGGAUGCCUGUGUGUGUGCAUGGGGUCCUUGCUAGUGAGGACAAUGCAGCGGACAGAGACAAGGGAGUGGCACUCGACGCCACCGCAUUGGCCAGUUUCUUCUUUAGAUGGCCAUUGCGUUUGUUGCUGUAAUUUUGUCGGUGGAGAAGUUCAGCAGCUGUAACAGCUUGGGUGCAUCCUUGAGUCAUUUGACCUGCUUGAUUAUCUGUUUAGAAGUAGUGAGAGUUUGCCGGAUUGUAUUCUUUGAAGACUAGCACGUGCUUUACUCGUGAUUGGUAUGUAAAUAAAGAAGCAGGCUCUUUUUUGCAUUUGAACCUUCUUAUUAGAUCUGUGAGAUAAAAACUAGUGUACUCGUCAUAUGCCUCGCUGCUAAUUUAUAGUACAAUACAUGUACUCUCCUUGUUUGUAAAUCUUCAGGCAUGAAGAGGAAAUAAUAAUAUUUUUAAAGUGA